This 471-nucleotide ribosomal RNA is filed under the name uncultured bacterium. RNAcentral describes it as "partial 16S ribosomal RNA". It matches the Rfam family "Bacterial small subunit ribosomal RNA", at positions 28 to 507 of the family's 1533-position model. The record is from RNAcentral.
GACGAACGCUGGCGGCGUGCUUAACACAUGCAAGUCGAACGAUGAAGCCUAGCUUGCUAGGUGGAUUAGUGGCGAACGGGUGAGUAAUACGUGAGUAACCUACCUUUAACUCUGGGAUAAGCCCGGGAAACUGGGUCUAAUACCGGAUACGACCAAUCUCCGCAUGGGGUGUUGGUGGAAAGCGUUAUGUAGUGGUUAUAGAUGGGCUCGCGGCCUAUCAGCUUGUUGGUGAGGUAACGGCUCACCAAGGCGACGACGGGUAGCCGGCCUGAGAGGGUGACCGGCCACACUGGGACUGAGACACGGCCCAGACUCCUACGGGAGGCAGCAGUGGGGAAUAUUGCACAAUGGGCGCAAGCCUGAUGCAGCGACGCCGCGUGAGGGAUGACGGCCUUCGGGUUGUAAACCUCUGUUAGCAGGGAAGAAGAGAGAUUGACGGUACCUGCAGAGAAAGCGCCGGCUAACUACGUG